UCAUGGACGAGAGUCUGAACCAGCCAAGUAGCGUGAAGGAUGACUGCCCUAUGGGUUGUAAACUUCUUUUAUACGGGAAUAAAGUGAGGCACGUGUGCCUUUUUGUAUGUACCGUAUGAAUAAGGAUCGGCUAACUCCGUGCCAGCAGCCGCGGUAAUACGGAGGAUCCGAGCGUUAUCCGGAUUUAUUGGGUUUAAAGGGAGCGUAGGCGGACGCUUAAGUCAGUUGUGAAAGUUUGCGGCUCAACCGUAAAAUUGCAGUUGAUACUGGGUGUCUUGAGUACAGUAGAGGCAGGCGGAAUUCGUGGUGUAGCGGUGAAAUGCUUAGAUAUCACGAAGAACUCCGAUUGCGAAGGCAGCCUGCUGGACUGUAACUGACGCUGAUGCUCGAAAGUGUGGGUAUCAAACAGGAUUAGAUACCCUGGUAGUCCAAGGGCGAAUUC
Molecule: ribosomal RNA, 442 nt
Filed under: uncultured bacterium
Lineage: Bacteria
Description: SSU rRNA
Rfam family: Bacterial small subunit ribosomal RNA
Source: RNAcentral